UACGUAGGGGCAAGCGUUAUCCGGAUUUACUGGGUGUAAAGGGAGCGUAGACGGCAGAGCAAGUCAGAAGUGAAAGCCCGCGGCUCAACUGCGGGACUGCUUUUGAAACUGCCCUGCUGGAGUGCAGGAGAGGUAAGCGGAAUUCCUGGUGUAGCGGUGAAAUGCGUAGAUAUUAGGAGGAACACCAGUGGCGAAGGCGGCUUGCUGGACGAUGACUGACGUUGAGGCUCGAAAGCGUGGGGAGCAAACAG
RNAcentral lists this ribosomal RNA (251 nucleotides) under uncultured bacterium. Its description in RNAcentral is "partial 16S ribosomal RNA". It matches the Rfam family "Bacterial small subunit ribosomal RNA", at positions 524 to 775 of the family's 1533-position model. The record is from RNAcentral.